This 1401-nucleotide ribosomal RNA is filed under the name Leuconostoc citreum. RNAcentral's name for it is "bacterial SSU rRNA". It matches the Rfam family "Bacterial small subunit ribosomal RNA". The record is from RNAcentral. Lineage: Bacteria; Bacillati; Bacillota; Bacilli; Lactobacillales; Lactobacillaceae.
CGCGCAGCGAGAGGUGCUUGCACCUUUCAAGCGAGUGGCGAACGGGUGAGUAACACGUGGAUAACCUGCCUCAAGGCUGGGGAUAACAUUUGGAAACAGAUGCUAAUACCGAAUAAAACUUAGUAUCGCAUGAUAUAAAGUUAAAAGGCGCUACGGCGUCACCUAGAGAUGGAUCCGCGGUGCAUUAGUUAGUUGGUGGGGUAAAGGCUUACCAAGACAAUGAUGCAUAGCCGAGUUGAGAGACUGAUCGGCCACAUUGGGACUGAGACACGGCCCAAACUCCUACGGGAGGCUGCAGUAGGGAAUCUUCCACAAUGGGCGCAAGCCUGAUGGAGCAACGCCGCGUGUGUGAUGAAGGCUUUCGGGUCGUAAAGCACUGUUGUAUGGGAAGAAAUGCUAAAAUAGGGAAUGAUUUUAGUUUGACGGUACCAUACCAGAAAGGGACGGCUAAAUACGUGCCAGCAGCCGCGGUAAUACGUAUGUCCCGAGCGUUAUCCGGAUUUAUUGGGCGUAAAGCGAGCGCAGACGGUUGAUUAAGUCUGAUGUGAAAGCCCGGAGCUCAACUCCGGAAUGGCAUUGGAAACUGGUUAACUUGAGUGUUGUAGAGGUAAGUGGAACUCCAUGUGUAGCGGUGGAAUGCGUAGAUAUAUGGAAGAACACCAGUGGCGAAGGCGGCUUACUGGACAACAACUGACGUUGAGGCUCGAAAGUGUGGGUAGCAAACAGGAUUAGAUACCCUGGUAGUCCACACCGUAAACGAUGAAUACUAGGUGUUAGGAGGUUUCCGCCUCUUAGUGCCGAAGCUAACGCAUUAAGUAUUCCGCCUGGGGAGUACGACCGCAAGGUUGAAACUCAAAGGAAUUGACGGGGACCCGCACAAGCGGUGGAGCAUGUGGUUUAAUUCGAAGCAACGCGAAGAACCUUACCAGGUCUUGACAUCCUUUGAAGCUUUUAGAGAUAGAAGUGUUCUCUUCGGAGACAAAGUGACAGGUGGUGCAUGGUCGUCGUCAGCUCGUGUCGUGAGAUGUUGGGUUAAGUCCCGCAACGAGCGCAACCCUUAUUGUUAGUUGCCAGCAUUCAGUUGGGCACUCUAGCGAGACUGCCGGUGACAAACCGGAGGAAGGCGGGGACGACGUCAGAUCAUCAUGCCCCUUAUGACCUGGGCUACACACGUGCUACAAUGGCGUAUACAACGAGUUGCCAACCUGCGAAGGUGAGCUAAUCUCUUAAAGUACGUCUCAGUUCGGACUGCAGUCUGCAACUCGACUGCACGAAGUCGGAAUCGCUAGUAAUCGCGGAUCAGCACGCCGCGGUGAAUACGUUCCCGGGUCUUGUACACACCGCCCGUCACACCAUGGGAGUUUGUAAUGCCCAAAGCCGGUGGCCUAACCUUCGGGAGGG